GCUUGAUCGGUGGAAGCUGUGGUUCCCGGGUUAGGCAGCUGGAGACUUGGAAUGAAAAUACGCGUUACUGCUGUUGUCACUGAGCCCGCUUGCGUCAUUAUGUGAAGUAGGGUCACGUGACUGGUUAUUUGUAAUUAGGUAUAGAUGUGACUCCAGGAGACUGAAGAAAUGGCUGGGCAGUAAAGGAGUUCUGUAACUUCAGGUAUCAGAAGUCUUCUCAUCCUUAUUAUGGGUUCUCAGGUCCAGUCUUAGAAGUGUGACACCAUCUAUGGAUUCUCCUCCUAACUCGCCAAGAAUGGACAAGGAGGUCCCGAGGCCCAUGAUGGGCAGAAUUCUAAACUUAUCCUUGAAGAUCAUCUACCUGCUGACUGGAGAGGAUUAUGGACCCCAGAGGAAGUCUUGGGAGGAAUUUGCAGAUAGUGGUCAUUCCUGUGCAGCACGUAGACUAAGAAGCUCUUGGAGUCCCGUUAAUGAGCUUAAGAUCUUGAAAC
Molecule: long non-coding RNA, 491 nt
Organism: Bufo gargarizans (Asiatic toad)
Lineage: Eukaryota; Metazoa; Chordata; Amphibia; Anura; Bufonidae
Exons: 3
Source: RefSeq, a predicted model, not a curated record